AAAACCAAGGUUUAAAGUACUUGGUAGAGAAAUCUCAUGAAUUUUGUUGAUGCCAAACUUUUAAAACAGUUAUUGUCAUGGCCUUUCCAAUGGUCUUGAGUACAUUCCAAUUUGAAUAUGUAGGUUGAUUUGUUGAUUGAAGAAAGUAAGAGAUUUAACCAGCUUGUUGACAAAGGUCUUAACAAGGCAAAAGGGAAUCCUAUGGCAUUCUAUAAGGUUUUGCCACAAUCCAUUGGAGCAAUGAAACCAUGGAUACGCCAAUUAGUUGAUGUAUAGCCUUUUUUAUAGGUUUGGUAGGAAAUUUUUUUGUUUAAAUGUAAUUAUUUAAAAUAGUUUGUUCGUACCAAAAAACAUUUGUACUAACAAUUAAAGCAAUAUUAGUAAGUGUUUAUUUCUAUUAAAGCGUUCACCUUUUUUCCA
This is a long non-coding RNA of Cucumis melo (muskmelon), 420 nucleotides long. RefSeq lists it as uncharacterized. The transcript is spliced from 3 exons. The record is from RefSeq and is a predicted model, not a curated record. Lineage: Eukaryota; Viridiplantae; Streptophyta; Magnoliopsida; Cucurbitales; Cucurbitaceae.